GACUCGAACUGAAAUGAACAAGGCGCGGCCAAGAGCCCCUUCCUUCACACGUGUAGACAAAGGGACCCAUCAACACAACCCAAACAUGCAGGGAAAAGUUUUCCCGUGCGCGCGACUCCACGCCAGGACCUCGCGAGGCGCUCAGGCCAGCAUGCACGGGACUUUCAGCAGACGCCCUCUGAAGGAUUUAAUAAAUUAUCAUUUUUCGGUGUGGAAUAUUUUUACUUUCCUUCUGGAUUAUUGGAUAUUCACAAUGAGAAUUACUUUCAUCGUAGCAUUAGACACCAUGGACAAACAUAAGCAAGUGUGGAGCUGGACAGCGCACAGUUUCCGCGGGAAACACGCAGAGCCGCACUGCAGCCCUCUUCUUUACCGGAUGAAAGUGUGGGAUGAGUCACCCCUUCAUCUUCCUCUAACUCUUCACCAGAGUCCAGGAUCGAGUGAGCUCAGACUGCGUCGGAAGCAGCCAAGCAUCCCGCGCACGGCGUCUCUCUGCUAUGAUGUCAUUAGCAGCCAAUCAAACGCGAGCGGGAAUCGUACGAGCCAAUGGCACGCCAGGCGGCCCCGCCCACCGCACGCGCUGUCCAUGUUGGAAAUGAAGUAAUGCAGAGAAAAGCAGCCAGAAGUACACCAAGGUCUGGUGUGUGCUGCAGUCUCAGAGGACUCAGAGGACAGGUUCACCUGCUGGGAGGAUGACACCAGACUGAGAGGACAUGGCUUUACAGAUCAAACACUGAAAUCAAGUGCUCAGAGUUUCAUUCACACUUAACACUUAACACAAGCGUUUAGAGGAGAUCUCACUCUGUUCUUCUGUUCUCUAACCUGUUCCUUUCAUCCGCAUUAUUGAGUAUCAGAGGAGUCUGAUGUCAGUGUGCAGGUGUAGAAAGAUCCCUCUUCUGUCUCUCGUUCUCAGUUCAGUCUCUUCUGCGUAUGAAUGUGAAGCUGAGCUGACAGUGCACCUCGGCUCUCACAGCUCCAGUGUAUCUGUCCCAACACUACCCUUCUGAUCACAACGGCCAAAUGCUCAUGUCUGAUUGUGGCUUUGCUUUUGGCCAUUAUUGCAUUUUUAUUAUGAAAGUUAAAAAUAAAACAAAACAAAUCAGUGAAUGAUUCAGUGGCAGGUUUACAUGAAAAUACUCAAAUUGACCAAGUCAGAUUUCUCCUGAUUCGUCUGUUUCUGAUGUGAUUCAUCUGAAGCUGCAGUCUGCUGUCAGACAUCAUCAUUUGCUGGAUCUUUAUUAAAAACCACACAAAUGUCAAAUCUUCUGCUCUGACUGUUGGACGAAUAUGUGACCCUGGAGCUUGGGUAUAUUUUUAGAAACA
Carassius auratus (goldfish) is the source of this 1323-nucleotide long non-coding RNA. RefSeq lists it as uncharacterized. The transcript has 3 exons. Lineage: Eukaryota; Metazoa; Chordata; Actinopteri; Cypriniformes; Cyprinidae. The record is from RefSeq and is a predicted model, not a curated record.